CGGUUAAAAAGCUCGUAGUUGAAAUUGUGUCCUGCGGCGUCGGUCUACCGACUGCGGUACGACAGGCGCGUCUGCGGGGCUUCUCGCCGGUGCGUGUUUUCCGUCGGCGCGUCGACGUCGGUCCCUCCGUUGGAUCGGCGUCGCGUCGAGGCGGGCCCUCGCGGCUGUUUACUUUGAACAAAUUAGAGUGCUCAAAGCGGGCUAAUAUUUGCCUGAAUAUUGUGCGCAUGGAAUAAUAGAAUAGGACCUCGGUUCUGUUUUGU
RNAcentral lists this ribosomal RNA (263 nucleotides) under Leptonema crassum. Its description in RNAcentral is "partial 18S small subunit ribosomal RNA". It matches the Rfam family "Eukaryotic small subunit ribosomal RNA", at positions 616 to 844 of the family's 1831-position model. Lineage: Eukaryota; Metazoa; Arthropoda; Insecta; Trichoptera; Hydropsychidae. The record is from RNAcentral.